AUUGAACGCUGGCGGCAGGCCUAACACAUGCAAGUCGAACGGUAACAGAAAGCAGCUUGCUGCUUUGCUGACGAGUGGCGGACGGGUGAGAAAUGUCUGGGAAACUGCCUGAUGGAGGGGGAUAACUACUGGAAACGGUAGCUAAUACCGCAUAACGUCGCAAGCCCAAAGAGGGGGACCUUCGGGCCUCUUGCCAUCGGCUGUGCCCAGAUGGGAUUAGCUAGUAGGUGGGGUAAAGGCUCACCUAGGCGACGAUCCAUAGCUGGUCUGAGAGGAUGACCAGCCACACUGGAACUGAGACACGGUCCAGACUCCUACGGGAGGCAGCAGUGGGGAAUAUUGCGCAAUGGGCGCAAGCCUGAUGGAGCCAUGCCGCGUGUAUGAAGAAGGCCUUCGGGUUGUAAAGUACUUUCAGCGGGGAGGAAGGGAGUAAUGUGAAUACCUUUGCUCAUUGACGGUACCCGCAGAAGAAGCACCGGCUAACUACGUG
RNAcentral lists this ribosomal RNA (490 nucleotides) under uncultured bacterium. Its description in RNAcentral is "partial 16S ribosomal RNA". It matches the Rfam family "Bacterial small subunit ribosomal RNA", at positions 30 to 507 of the family's 1533-position model. The record is from RNAcentral.